UACGUAGGUGGCAAGCGUUAUCCGGAAUUACUGGGCGUAAAGCGCACGCAGGUGGUUUGCUAAGAUUGACGUGAAAGCGCCUGGCUUAACUGGGCGAGGUCGUUGAUGACUGGCAGACUUGAGGCGAGGAGAGGGGUGUAGAAUUCCCGGUGUAGUGGUGGAAUGCGUAGAUAUCAGGAGGAACACCGGUGGCGAAGGCGGGUCUCUGGGCCGAUACUGACGCUGAGGAGCGAAAGCGUGGGGAGCAAACAGG
This 253-nucleotide ribosomal RNA is filed under the name uncultured bacterium. Its description in RNAcentral is "partial 16S ribosomal RNA". It matches the Rfam family "Bacterial small subunit ribosomal RNA", at positions 524 to 776 of the family's 1533-position model. The record is from RNAcentral.